RNAcentral lists this ribosomal RNA (292 nucleotides) under uncultured bacterium. RNAcentral describes it as "partial 16S ribosomal RNA". It matches the Rfam family "Bacterial small subunit ribosomal RNA", at positions 505 to 796 of the family's 1533-position model. The record is from RNAcentral.
GUGCCAGCCGCCGCGGUAAUACAGAGGCCUCGAGCGUUAAUCGGAAUCACUGGGCUUAAAGGGUGCGUAGGCGGAUCUUCAAGUGCCUUGUGAAAUCCCAUGGCUCAACCAUGGAAUUGCUCGGUAGACUGGGGAUCUUGAGGUAGGUAGGGGUCACUGGAACUCUAGGUGGAGCGGUGAAAUGCGUAGAUAUCUAGAGGAACGCCGAUGGUGAAGACAGGUGACUGGGCCUAUUCUGACGCUGAUGCACGAAAGCGUGGGGAGCAAACGGGAUUAGAAACCCCCGUAGUCC